GUUGGAUUACAAAUUAUGUUUUGCUGUUGGCCGACUGAAUUUGUGAGAAAUUAUUAUCUAUUUAGAUAUGGAAAAAGACAUUAGUGUUGUUAUGUCAUGGUUGUUCCAAAUCCACAGUUGAGGCUGAAGAUUUGCAAGGAAAUUUUGUCCAUACUGACAAAGGAAGCUAGAAAAGACACCAACACCCGAGGCACAUCAUUUGUUGGGUCCCCAUUGCUAUUACUGGUCACAGUUUUGACAAUUUAAGAUCUUAGUUAAGAUUAACUUGAGUUGAAUUGUUGGAUAUUUUGAUUUGGUCACGAUCUAAGCUGAAGGCAGUUUGUAAUUUG
Molecule: unclassified non-coding RNA, 329 nt
Filed under: Hevea brasiliensis (rubber tree)
Lineage: Eukaryota; Viridiplantae; Streptophyta; Magnoliopsida; Malpighiales; Euphorbiaceae
Source: RNAcentral